CCGACGGGCGACCGCCCGCUCGGAUACUGACUCCGGUACCUGAUACGGCCGGGGCAG
Streptomyces mobaraensis is the source of this 57-nucleotide non-coding RNA. Lineage: Bacteria; Bacillati; Actinomycetota; Actinomycetes; Kitasatosporales; Streptomycetaceae. The record is from Rfam.